UGAGUUUAUAUAUUCACAUUAUAUAUGACCUGGUGAGUUUAUAUAUUAUAUUAUAUAUGACCUGGUGAGUUUAUAUAUUAUUUAUGACCUGGUGAGUUUAUAUAUUCACUUUAUAUUAUAUAUGACCUGGUGAGUUUAUAUAUUCACAUUAUAUAUGACCUAGUGAGUUUAUAUAUUCACAUGAUAUAUAAUAGGGACUGGUAGCAGCCAGUGACUACAGUUAGGUCUUGGGGGUUGGUUAAUAGGGACUGGUAGCAGCCAGGGACUACAGUUAGGUCUUGGGGGUUGGUUAAUAGGGACUGAUAGCAGGGACUACAGUUGGGUCUUGGGGGUUGGUUAAUAGGGACUGGUAGCAGCCAGGGACUACAGUUAGGUCUUGGGGGUUGGAUAAUAGGGACUGGUAGCAGCCAGGGACUACAGUUAGGUCUUGGGGGUUGGUUAAUAGGGACUGGUAGCAACCAGGGACUACAAUUAGGUCUUGGGGGUUGGUUAAUAGGGACUGGUAGCAGCCAGGGACUACAGUUAGGUCUUGGGGGUUGGAUAAUAGGGACUGGUAGCAGCCAGGGACUACAGUUAGGUCUUGGGUGUUGGUUAAUAGGGACUGGUAGCAGCCAGGGACUACAGUUAGGUCUUGGGGGUUGGAUAAUAGGGACUGAUAGCAGCCAGGGACUACAGUUAGGUCUUGGGGGUUGGUUAAUAGGGACUGGUAGCAGCCAGGGACUACAGUUAGGUCUUGGGGGUUGGAUAAUAGGGACUGGUAGCAGCCAGGGACUACAGUUAGGUCUUAGGGGUUGGUUAAUAGGGACUGGUAGCAGCCAGGGACUACAGUUAGGUCUUGGGGUUGGGUUAAUAGGGACUGGUAGCAGCAGGGACUACAGUUAGGUCUUGGGGGCUGGUUAAUAGGGACUGGUAGCAGCCAGGGACUACAGUUAGGUCUUGGGGGUUGGUUAAUAGGGACCGGUAGCAGGGACUACAGUUAGGUCUUGGGGGUUGGUUAAUAGGGACCGGUAGCAGCCAGAGACUACAGUUAGGUCUUGGGG
This 1040-nucleotide long non-coding RNA is filed under the name Salmo salar (Atlantic salmon). RNAcentral's name for it is "lncRNA (ENSSSAG00000106770.1)". Lineage: Eukaryota; Metazoa; Chordata; Actinopteri; Salmoniformes; Salmonidae. The record is from RNAcentral.